GACACGCUGGCGGCGUGCUUAACACAUGCAAGUCGAACGGUGACGAGGAGCUUGCUCCUCUGAUCAGGUGGCGAACGGGUGAGUAACACGUGAGCAACCUGCCCCAGACUCUGGGAUAACAGUUGGAAACAGCUGCUAAUACCGGAUACGAGACGGAGAGGCAUCUCUACCGUCUGGAAAGUUUUUCGGUCUGGGAUGGACUCGCGGCCUAUCAGCUAGUUGGUGAGGUAAUGGCUCACCAAGGCGACGACGGGUAGCCGGCCUGAGAGGGCGACCGGCCACACUGGGACUGAGACACGGCCCAGACUCCUACGGGAGGCAGCAGUGGGGAAUAUUGCACAAUGGGCGAAAGCCUGAUGCAGCGACGCCGCGUGAGGGAUGACGGCCUUCGGGUUGUAAACCUCUUUCAGCAGGGAAGAAGCGAAAGUGACGGUACCUGCAGAAGAAGCACCGGCUAACUACGUG
This 465-nucleotide ribosomal RNA is filed under the name uncultured bacterium. RNAcentral describes it as "bacterial SSU rRNA". It matches the Rfam family "Bacterial small subunit ribosomal RNA", at positions 33 to 507 of the family's 1533-position model. The record is from RNAcentral.